GAACUGAAGAGUUUGAUCAUGGCUCAGAUUGAACGCUGGCGGCAGGCUUAACACAUGCAAGUCGAGCGGAAACGAAGAUAGCUUGCUAUCAGGCGUCGAGCGGCGGACGGGUGAGUAACGCGUAGGAAUCUACCUAGUAGUGGGGGAUAGCCCAGAGAAAUUUGGAUUAAUACCGCAUACGCCCUAUGGGGGAAAGCAGGGGAUCUUCGGACCUUGCGCUAUUAGAUGAGCCUGCGUGAGAUUAGCUAGUUGGUGAGGUAAAGGCUCACCAAGGCGACGAUCUCUAGCUGGUCUGAGAGGAUGAUCAGCCACACUGGGACUGAGACACGGCCCAGACUCCUACGGGAGGCAGCAGUGGGGAAUAUUGCACAAUGGGCGCAAGCCUGAUGCAGCCAUACCGCGUGUGUGAAGAAGGCCUUAGGGUUGUAAAGCACUUUCAGUAGGGAGGAAAGCUUGUGGCUUAAUACGCUAUAAGUGUGACGUUACCUACAGAAGAAGGACCGGCUAACUCCGUGCCAGCAGCCGCGGUAAUACGGAGGGUCCGAGCGUUAAUCGGAAUUACUGGGCGUAAAGCGUGCGUAGGUGGUUUGUUAAGCAAGAUGUGAAAGCCCCGGGCUCAACCUGGGAACUGCAUUUUGAACUGGCAGGCUAGAGUUUUGUAGAGGGUAGUGGAAUUUCCAGUGUAGCGGUGAAAUGCGUAGAGAUUGGAAGGAACAUCAGUGGCGAAGGCGGCUACCUGGACAAAGACUGACACUGAGGCACGAAAGCGUGGGUAGCAAACAGGAUUAGAUACCCUGGUAGUCCACGCCGUAAACGAUGUCUACUAGCCGUUGGGGUCCUUGAGACUUUAGUGGCGCAGCUAACGCACUAAGUAGACCGCCUGGGGAGUACGGUCGCAAGAUUAAAACUCAAAUGAAUUGACGGGGGCCCGCACAAGCGGUGGAGCAUGUGGUUUAAUUCGAAGCAACGCGAAGAACCUUACCUACUCUUGACAUCCACAGAACUUUUGAGAGAUCAAUUGGUGCCUUCGGGAACUGUGAGACAGGUGCUGCAUGGCUGUCGUCAGCUCGUGUUGUGAAAUGUUGGGUUAAGUCCCGUAACGAGCGCAACCCUUGUCCUUAGUUACCAUCAUUUAGUUGGGGACUCUAAGGAGACUGCCGGUGACAAACCGGAGGAAGGCGGGGACGACGUCAAGUCAUCAUGGCCCUUACGGGAUGGGCUACACACGUGCUACAAUGGGCAGUACAAAUGGUUGCGAAGCCGCGAGGUGGAGCUAAUCUAAAAAAGCUGUUCGUAGUCCGGAUUGGAGUCUGCAACUCGACUCCAUGAAGUUGGAAUCGCUAGUAAUCGUAGAUCAGAAUGCUACGGUGAAUACGUUCCCGGGCCUUGUACACACCGCCCGUCACACCAUGGGAGUGGGUUGCUCCAGAAGUAAAUAGCUUAACCUUCGGGAGGGCGUUUACCACGGAGUGAUUCAUGACUGGGGUGAAGUCGUAACAAGGUAGCCC
This 1508-nucleotide ribosomal RNA is filed under the name uncultured prokaryote. RNAcentral describes it as "partial 16S ribosomal RNA". It matches the Rfam family "Bacterial small subunit ribosomal RNA". The record is from RNAcentral.